CGGGUUCUGCAUCGUCUCCUUGACUAUCAGAGAUUUGUCCCGCUGCGAAGUUGGCUGCCCAAUCGGCAAGAAGAUAAGCGGACCAGAUGAGAGAGAGUAGUACCUUUCUGGAUGUGCGUUUCCUUUGAGGUGCAAAGAAAAUGAGAAACGAUUGGAGGCUGAGACUGAAGAUUAAGGUAGUUCGGAUACUCCAUGCGUCCCAUAUGUCUUUGAUAGGCUUAGGGAUUGCGUCCACCAUCUUGAAACAGAGUUAUUUCCUAAUUUGUUGGAACAAACAAGAAAUUAUGGUCUUUGAGACACAACACAUAUGCAUCUAAAGAGGUUUUGGACUUGUUUCUUUGUCUGUUUAAUUUUUUUUUUUUUUGGUGUUCAGUUAUUCUGUGCAGACAGCCAUUGGAAGCCUCUUGGAAGAGACCUGAGGUUAGUCAAACACUGUUCAUGUCGUCUUUCUUUUAUGUUUUUUAUUUGGCUUUACAUUUUGCAAAAACAUUUAUUUUUCAUGAUAUUUUUAAAAUUGUAUUAUUCCUGCUUUUUGUUUUCGUUCUUUAUACUAAUUUGUCAUUUCAUAAAAGGUUAAAACACUGAUUUAAACAAAACUCCCACUGGUUGGUAAAGGUGAGUAAAGUUCAAAAAAAAAAAGAUAUGAAUAGUGUGGAAAGGGAUAUAUGCUAUAUUUAUUUAUAUUUAAAAUACUUAGAGCUCUAUUUUAUAUCAAUAUGUUUGGAUCCUUGUGUAAAUUUUCUGUCUUGUUUUUGUUUCUAUAUAUCCUUAACGAAUCUCCGAUCAAAUACUCUCCAUGCGUUCCUAAAAAAUUCUUAUUCUAGAGAAAAUUUUUGUUUUAGAAAGAUACAUAUUUUAUACUACCUCCAUUCCUAAAUGUAGGAUAUUUUAAAGAAUUUCGAUGUUUCAAUAUAUAAGAUGUUUUCAUUUUUCUAGGUAAACUUUUAUUUUAUUAAAAAAUGUGCAACCAAUCAUAUUUGAUAAUCCAUUUUGUAAUCGGUUGAAUAACAUUAAUUUAUAGUUUUAAUGAUAUUUUCUAGACAAAACAAUGAUUUUUUAAAUAUACGUGUUUUUACUUAAAGAUCUUAUAUUUAGGAACAGAUGGAGUAUUUCCAAUGUAAUUUUUGUCAACUAAUAAUGAGAAAUUGUGAAGUUCAAGAAUGUUAAUUGCAUUUUAAAAAAUUUUAUUGGUUUAAUAAUAUAGAAAAUAUAAAAUUAUAAAAAACUAUGUAUUUAUAGAUACGUUUUCAUUUAUUUUAUUAAAAAUUGUGAAAAUUCUAAAAUAUUGAUUUUUUAAGAACAGAGAGAGAGUAGAUAUCAAGUACAGUAUGAGGUUCUGUAGGCCUGCUUUGUAAAUUGGAAUGAGAACAUUUGUUUCGUUCCCAUUCCCAGACAGAACAAAUUCUGCCCAUGUGAACACUAGUUACUUCUCCAAAAAAAACUAGUAAAAGUACAUUCAACCUCUAUAUUUAUAAUCUAACUAGAUUCUACUCUUUGAUUUUAAAGAGUGAAAUUAUAAUUUUUACAUAAUUUAUUUUAAUAAUUUUAAAUAAUUAGUUUAUCUUUUAAACAUAUUUGUAAACUGAUUUUUAUUUCUGUUUCUGAUAAAAUUCUUUUUAUUUAAUUUAAAAACAUGGGAUUUUAAAAUGUAAUAAACUCAAUUUAUAUUUUAAGACAAAAACUGAGUCUAUAUUUAGGUAUAUAUAUUUCAAUAAUUGUUACAAACUUAAUUAGUUAUUUAAACAAUAAUAAUUAAAAUAUCUAUAAGAUUUGGUUAUAAAAAAUAAGAAAUAUUCAAAAUUAAAAUUAUAUAUUCCCUGUUACAAUAAUAUAUAUUAUGUGUGAUGGUGUUUUCAUUAAAAUUUAUAAUUUGAAAAUAAAGACUAAACUAAUUUUAAUGAAAUGUAAACUAACUAAAAUUUGAAUAAAAUAAAUUGUAAAUCACACAUGGAAAUAAGGUUGUUUAUAUAUUAUGUUUCAAUUUUAAUUUUAAUAAGAUAGAUUCAAUAAUAUUAACAUCAUUUCUAAUCUUUUAUUAUAUUUUAUUUUAAAAGUUGGUGUAAAUGUCAAAGUUAAACGACAACCAUGUUAAUAUGAAAUUCCAUUAUUUUCAAAGGACCCUACUUGGAAGCAAUUAUUACAAUAUCAGCCAUAACUUUACAUCGAAAUAAGAUAUGCUUUUGUAGUCUAACAAGACUUUUCCCACGUCUUGUGAUGUGACCGCACAGGUGAUUAUUGUUUUGUUUGUUUUUAGUUUUUAGUUUUUGGUUCCUAGUUUUUAGUUUUUGGUUUUUAAAUUUUAGUUUUUAUUUUUUGGUUUUGCGGUAAAUUUUGGCUUUUUGAAAAUCAUGAGUGUUUUAGAUUUUGGUUUUUAGUUUUUGAUUUUUGCUUUUAAAAUUAAUAAAAUAUUUUUAUACAAAUAAAAUAUUUAUUCUGAAAAAUAAAAUAUAAAAUACACACAUCAAAACACACAUAAACUUAUUUAAUAAAAUUAUUUUAAAUAACAUUUGAGGUGUGAAAAAUAUUUAAAUAAGAACUGCAAAAAACAAUAUAAAUUAUCAACAAUAUAAUUUUUUGUAAUGACUAACUUCAAAUAAUUAAUUUUAUUUCUUUUGAUAAGUUAAAAUUUUUAUAGGAGUUAUUUUGCUUACAUGAGUUUAUUAUUAGAUAAAAUAUCAUUCAAAUAUUAUAAUAAUAUUAGUACAAUAAGCUUUGAUGAUUAGUAUAGAUGAAAUUUACUAUAAAUUAAAAAAGUGUCCAACAGUUUAUUAUUCGAUAAAAUAUUAUUCAAAUAUUGUUAUAGUUUUGGUAAAACCUGUGUUAUAAUAAAAACAGAUGUAAAAUACCUUACAUAGAUAUGCUCAGACAUUAUUAUUAGCAAUUAAAAAUGCCUUAGUAAUGGGUCUUACGUAUUAUAAUCAUAGGUAUUACCCAAAUCAUGACUUACGUAAGUUGUAUAUAUAUGUAAUAAUAGAUAAACGUAAAAGAAGUUUCAAGCAACAAAACUACAAAAAACUGAUUUUUGGUUUUUGUUUAGAAGUUGCCAGUUAUUUAAAAAACUAGUUUCCUUAUAUUUUAAAAAAACUAUUUAUCAGAAAAUUUGAUUGGGUGAAAAAUGGUUUUUGGAGAAACAAAAACCAAAAGCUAUUCCAAAAACCAGAAACAAUCGACCUGGCAAUGGCAGGAAACCUACUUGGAAGCAAUUAUUACAAUAUCAACCAUAACUUUACAUCGAAAUAAGACAUGCUUUUGUAGUCUAACAAGACUUUUCCCACAUCUUGUCAUGUGACGACACAAUUGCAGGAAACCAUGUUGGCAUUCAUAGGCUGUAAUGUGAUCCAGAACAAAUGCAGAAAUAAUGCAGGAUAUUUAAUUUGCAGAUAGAACUGCAUUUGUUACCCAUUCAUGUUUAUAAUGCAGAACUGGAAAAGGUAAAAAAAAACUAAAAACUGACCUGAAUGCAGAUUGGUUUUGUCUUUGAUUAUUUGUCCCGCAGAUUAUAGAAGAAAAGGUUCUGGCGAGAGGCAGAGGGGCAAAAUGGCCUGAUUUUUUUUUUUUAAGUUCCUUGAUUAUAAUCACUCUUCAUUAUUACACUUGAUUUUAUAGGCCUCGAACGGAUCGGGUAUCCGGGAAAUUUUAAGGUAUCCGGAUCCGGAUCCUUAUCCGGCGGAUCUAUAAUUUUACUAUCCUUAUCCGGAUCCGCGGUUCUCGGAUUCCGGACCUUCUAAAAAUUGUAAUAUCCGGCGGAUAUCCGGAUCCGAAUUUAGAUCCUUAAAAUAAAUAAAUAAAAUAAUAUUAAUAUAUAUAAAAUAUUAACAAUAAUUUAAAACAAAAAAUAUAUAAUGUUUUGAAUUAUUUCUAGGGUUUUCUGCAAAAAACCCUCAAUGUGGUUUUUUUUUUCAAAUUAAUCCGCGAACUCAAAAACCCACGGGUCAACCCUCCAAGUGCCAGUCAAACCGCAAUAUAACCCUCGGCCGUAUUUAUGUGUAUUUGACUGUGUAUAAUUUUAACAUUUUUUCAAUAAUAGGUCGUUUUGGCGCUAAUUUUUUAAUGAAAAAAAUUUGUUGAACUCGUGGUUUGAAAUUUGAACCUUAAAUACCAUGUGCAUGCUAUAUAACCAUCUCGGCCAACAAAUAUAUUUGUUUACUUAACAAACGCAAUUAUAUAGAUUUCUAAAACGAAAUGACCUUGUUUUUCUCGGACAUGGGAGCUUGCGUAAAUGCACAAUGAAGGUGGAGUUCAACAAAUUUUUUUCAUUAAAAAAUUAGCGCCAAAACGACCUAGUAUUGAAAAAAUGUUAAAAUUAUACACAGUCAAAUACACAUAAAUAUGGCCGAGGGUUAUAUUGCGGUUUGACUGGCACUUGGAGGGUUGACCCGUGGGUUUUUGAGUUCGCGGAUUAAUUUGCAAAAAAAAAUCACAUUGAGGGUUUUUUUGCAGAAAACCCUUAUUUCUACGUAUAAAAUUACAAAACUUACGUAAAAUUUACAUAUACUAUUAUAAAAAUGAAAAUAUAUUAAAUAAAAUUAGUUUUUAUAUAUAGAUAUUACUAUUUUUGAAAUAGUUAUUAAUAAAACUUACGGAUCCAGAUAUCCGGACUAAAAAAUCAUGAUAUCCGGAUCCGGUUUUAGCGGAUCCAACAUUUUACAAUCCGGAUCCGGAUUAGGCCCCUCCGGAUAUCCGGAUUUUCAGAUGGGAUCCGGAUCAAAUCUCAGAUCGAAUCCGGAUCUCGGAUAAAAUUCUCGGGCCUAUUCAUUUACUUAACAAAUUAAUUGUUUUCUCAGAAAUAAAGUUUGUUAAUUUUUUCAUUAUAAGUUAUAGUACUGGACAUAUUUUUUUUAUUACAAAUAAAAAAUGAUAAUUACCUUGUGUCUAAUUAGUUUUUAUAUUUUCAGGUUGUCUUUACAUCAAUUAAAAAGAAUUCAAAAAUUCAAGGAGUAUUUUAAUUAGCUCAUUAAAUAAAUUCUAAAACAUUUAGGAUGUUUAAAAUAACCUAUAAAUACUUUUAUCUUCUAUUUAUUUUUUAAAAUUCACAAACAGUUGCAUAAUUUAUUUUAUUAAAAAAACUAAUUAAAUUAUAAAUUAACUAUAAUUUUUAAACAUUAAUACAAAAUUUAUAUAAAACUUCAUGCACGCAUAUAUAUAAACAAAAAAAUAUUUUUUUUUAGUUUUAUGCAUUUACUUUCAUAUUUGGUAAUUCAUAUUUAACUGCAUAUAAUUAUAAAUUUUAAAUUUUAAUUAUAAUUACUUAAUAUCAAUGAAACAACACAUUUUUCUUACAUAUACAUUUAUGCAUUUUUAUAUUUUUAAAUUUAAAAUAAAGGUUUUGUUGAUACAAUAACAUAUAUAUAUAUAUAAUUUGACAAUGUCAGUUCUAUAGGUUAACCAAACGGUAAUAAAAAACCAAAAAUUGAAUAAAUAUAAAAAAAUAAGAACAAAACAAGAAUAUUCUUUAUAAUUUUUGUAAUUUUGAUGAUUUUUCAUAUAAUUUUAAAAUCACUAUAUUUAUUAAAAUGAUGAUAUUUAUUGUUAUUUUGUCAACUUGAUAUUUAUUGCUUAUAUAUAAUAAGUUUAAUUUUAUUUAAAAUUUUAAUUUUUAUGAAAAAAUAAAAUAUUUAAUUAAAUAUAAUAAUUUAUUAAAUUAGAUUGAUCUGCAUUUGUUCUGUUUGAUAUGUAUGAUCUACAUUUCUUCUGUUUGAUCUGCAUUUUUGUCUGUAUUUAUUCAUCUGCGUUAUCUAUUCGAAGUCAUAGUCCAUUGCUACGCAUUUAAUAUUACCCGGACAGUUGGACUAUUAUUGCUCUUGAGCCGGAUACUUGGAUGUAUACUUUAAAAAGUUGCAUAAAUAAAUAGUUAUUCCUGGGUACACCUCCUAGGUUAAAAUUUUUAGGUUCACCGACUAAUAGAAUUUCAUUAUUUCAAAUUCGAUAUUUAAAAAAAAAAAAAAAAUAUUGUCAAAUUAUAUUAUGUUUUUAAAAUAAAAAGGUAAAAAAAAAAUAGUAGUUACAGAAAAAAAAAUUAAAAAAAAUCUUUUUAACGUCGUCAGCAAAACACUAAACCCUAAAUCUUAAUCCCAAAACCCUAAAUCCUAAAUUCUUAACCCUUGGGUAAACCCUAAACCCUUAAAUAAACUCUAAACCCUUGGGUAAACUCUAAACCCUUGGGUAAAUCAUAAACUCUCGGAUAAAUCCUAAACUCUAAAUAAAAACACUAAACCCUAAGACUUUAAACCCUAAAUCCUAAAUCCUAAACCCCAAACCCUUGAGUGUUUUAAUGUUUAGUGAUUUUGAUUUAGAGUUUAAGAUUUAUCCUAGAGUUUAGGGUUUACCCAAGGGUUUAAGGUUUAGGAUUUAGGGUUUAGGGAUUAGGAUUUAGGCUUCGAAUGGUGACUGCGGUUUGAACGGUGCGGAACAAGCGGUUCAACUGCGGUGCGGUUUUAACAGUUAUAAAAACGUAUCGAUAUAUGGUAUACGUUAAUAUUUUUGUUACUGUUAACUGCGGUGCGGGUCGGAACGGUUAUAAACAUUCGAAGCCUUAGAGUUUAAUGUUUUGCUGACGACGUUAAAAAUAUUUUUUUUGUAAAUACUACUAUUUUUUAUUUAUUUUUUUACAAUUUAAUUUUAAAAGAUAAUAUAAUUUGAUAAUAUUUUAUUUUUUUUAAUAUAUCGAAUAUGAAUUAACGUGGGGGUGGGGUAAAGGGAGAAAUUCCACUCAAGCUACCCUGCGUGGGCUCAUGAGUGUAUCCAUUUAUCUGUUAGAUAAUAGGUUGUGUUAUCUUUGGUUUACGAGAUUAGCUGGCUCUGAGACUAUCCAAAGUUAGGCAUGGGCAAAAUAAUCGGAACCGAAGAACCGAAUCAGAACCAAACUGAAAUAUCCGAAACUGGAAUCAGACCAAUACCUUCAAAUACCCAAACGGUUUCUAUAUUUUUAUAUCCAAAAUAACCGAAUCGAACCAAGAACCGAACGGGUACCCGAAUAUAUAAAAAUAUUAAUUAUAUACAUAUAACAUCAUUAAAUAAAUAUUUUUAAUUUAAAAUUCUAUUAAAAGUAUCUGAAAAUAGUUGAGGAUAACUAAAUUAUUAUAAAGUAUCCAAACUACUCGAAAGUAUCUGAAACUCUCCGGAUAGUUUUAUCCGAAAUAUCCAAAGUAAUCCGAAAUAUCUAAAUUUUUUAUCUAAAUCAUCCUAAUUAUUUGAUAUUUUACUCUAAAUAACCGAUAUUUUAUCCAAAUUAUCUGAACUAUCCGAACUAUCCGAACCGGAUCCAAAAGAGAAUCGAACUCCGAAUAUUUUCCGGUUCCUACAUUUACUAUCCAAACCGAACCGAACCCGAAACUAUCUGAACCGAACCGAACCAAAAAUAGGUCAAGUACUAAAUGGAUCCUCUAGCCCCUAUCUGAACUACCCGAAACCCGAAAUACCCGAACCGAACCGAACCGAUAUCCGAAAUGUCCAGGCCUAUCCACAGUGAUAAAACAAUUCAAUAUCCUCAUUUUUUCUUUUUAACGUUUCACAUUAUUUUUCACCUAAUUAUUCAAUAUUCAAUUCAUUUUUAACCUCUAAUAUAAUUUUAUUUAAUAAAAUUCAACACACUACUCCACUAUUUCUAAUUCAUCUUCUUUUUAUAUUUUAUAAUUCAAUAAUUAUAUAUUAUAUAAUAAGUUUGAUUAUAAUUAACUUAAAUAAUUUAAAUAAGAUAUUUUUUAUUAUUAACUUUUAAAAAAAUAUAUAAAAAGUAAUAUUAUUAAAACAAAUAAAAUUAGAAGAUUUAAAUACAUACAAUAUAACACACAGAACAACAAAUUAAAAACACACAACUUAUUUGGUACAAGAAACUCAAAUAAAAACACACAACUUAUUUUUUACAAUAAAUACAAUCAUAAACAACAAAUUAAAAUUUUGUAUUCAGUUAUUUAGACAGCCAAUAGAAGCCUCUGGGAGGAGACCUGAGGUUAGUCAAACAUUGUUCAUGUCGUCUUUCUUUUAUGUUUUUUAUUUGGCUUUACAUUUUGCAAAAACAUUUAUUUUUCAUGAUAUUUUUAAAAUUGUAUUAUUCCCGCUUCUUGUUUUCGUUCUUUUGGUUUUGAGAUUUUUUUUCUCAGAUUGACUUGAGAAAUUUGGGGUCUUGUGGAAUAAUGUUUUUGGGAAGCUGUUGAUGCUCUUUUUUUUUCACCAGAGGCUCACUCAUGACUCGGGUAAGAGACGACUCAGGGACUCACUCAAGUCUAGCUGUUCUGUUUUCUUUCAACGAAUUAAUAAUAAACUAUUUUUCAUUUUUCGUACAUUUAUUGCAAAUUGUUUAUUAAAUAAAAAAUAUUCUUUAAAGGAAAGUUCGUUAUUUUUUUGUGGGAAACGACUUUAGCUUAUAGGUCUUUCUUUAUGCUGAAUAAUAAUAAAAUCAAAAGUGACAGCUGUUGGGUACAAUAAUUAAAAGAAAAUAUUACAUUCAAGGUCACUUUCAUCUUUUAUAUUACACCACUAGACACUUUGCUCUCUUAAGACACUUUUCCUAAUUUCAAUGCACGUUUGUUUAGGUUUACUAGUUGAAACAUAAGUAAAUUGUAAUUAGUAGGUCCCAUUCUUUUUUUCUGUUUCUUCUUCCUCAAAAUUCUUUUCCAUAUCUCACUAGUUUGCUUUUACAAUUUUUUUGAUGUUUUGAUUUUUUUUUUCACUAACAGAAUUACAAAAUUUAAAAUAAAGCUUCACAGAUCUUGGUAUUCAAAUCCUAGCCAAUUUAACUAUAUUUUCUCUCAUAUCUUAUUAGAGAGUCAUUAGAUCUAGAAGAUGUAACUAAUGAGAGAGAGAAAGUUUGAUUUGCAGAAAAAACAAAAGAUGGAAGAAGAUGGGAUGCUGUUACCGUGAUAACAGUUUCUACGAUGCAGGGCCGGUCCUGGCUAAGCCCAUUGAAACAUUUGUCUUAGGUCCCUAUUUUUUAGAGGUCCCAUUUCUAGAAAAUCCAAUAUACAUUAUAAAACAAAAAAAAAAUUUAAUGAGAUCACACGAACUUGGCUAUAUCACGUUGGUUUAAGUUUUAACAACCAAAGUCCAUUUGAAUAGGCCAAAGAACACAAUAAUGUAAGUAGCCCAAUAAAUCAAAAAGAGUAAAAAUCCACAAAGCUAAAAAAAAUUUGGACUAACGUAUUUCAUUUUUUUUUUGUCUUCGACUCUUGCACUUGCUUUCCCUGUCAUAACUUGGAAGCCAAAAACACAAUUUCAAAACAGAAUUUCAUUACUCCUUGUCAAUUGCUUGUGUUUAUAUCAGAAGAAAAAUAUCGGCAUAAACUAUCAGUUCAUUUGUUCAUUUUUUUGUAUAGAAACUUAUGUUUUAUCAUUGGUUUAGUAUUUUAUAUAUGAACUAUGUUUAUAAGUUUGUUUUUGGGAUAUUUUUGUGAUGUAAGAUAUAGGCCCCUAUUUUUUAUUUCGUUUCAAGCCCCCGAAUUUUCAGGACCGGCCCUGCUACGAUGUCACCGAGAAUCGUGACAGAUUUACUCUGGCUGUGACUCUUAUUUGAACCACCGGAAACAGCCCAUCUUUAGACUCCGACUCAUCUUUCCCGGUGUCGUGACCUCACCUCUUGUCGUCUAUGUUCCGUCACGAGCUCGCGUCUCUGCUCCGUAGAAAGCAUCAAUGGCCAAUUUUUGCUUUUUUGCACAUUUGGUCCUUUAUUUUGUGUAAUUCAUUUCUGAUCUCAAACUCUUUAAUAGUACAAAUAACUCUUCGUAUUAACCCCUUUCUUCUUUAUUGUUAAUUCCAAAACCCUUCAUAAAAAUUGCAUGAAUGGUCUCUUGUCUUUUAAUUACUUUCAUUUCCGCCCCCCCCCCAAAAUUCUAAAAUAAACAAUUUUCUCUUUGAUUUCAUCUCAAACUUAUCAAUUGCAUACUCUAACCUAUGUUAAUGCAAUUUAACAUGCAUAUAUACACUAAAGACUUUUAAAGCCAAAUGUACAACUCAUGUCAGUCUAUCGUACUUUUGAACUUUGGGUUUCACUGAUCAAUUGUACAUGUAGAUGUUUGUGGGACUAUGUACAUGAUGAUUAUUGUACAUCUGGAUAAGCAAAUGUAUGUGUACACGUCUCAUUUGCCUAAACAUCAACAUAAUAAUUCAUUUGAAACUCCUUAAGAUAUUUGUUUCAUGUUGGUGCAGGGAUAAGGUAAAGAAAGCACUCUGGCCAAAGUUUUAUUUUGGAUUAAAUUAGAUUCCUCUUCACAAUCAACUUGCGAAUCAACUUCAUAAUGUUUUGUAUGCUUUGUAUAAUGAUACAAAGUUUCAUAUUCUUCUACCACUUUAUCUUUGAAUGGACUUUACCUAAUUUAUCAAUAUUGUACACAUUUACGGUAUCAUAUUUGUUGUACACAUGUACUCCACAAAAUAUUAAUGUACACACACUAGGGAUGUGCACUACUUUACAAUAUGUAUCCACAUUAGAUUUACAUUGUUUUGUGGACAUAUAAGAUUAUGAUAGAGAUAUACAGAAUGUCAUUAAGAUAAAAUAUAAUAUAUAUAUUGGACAUAUGACCAUUGGCAAAACAACAAGAGACAUUUUCCAUGAUGCUUUGUCCAUGCUUAUAUUUUUGAGAGGUCGUGUAAUCUUUAGCUCAUCAUUUGAUAGUGUAUAUGUCUUUUUUUUUUUUUUUUUGACAAAAGAUUUAAAAUGACUAUUUAUAUUUGUCUAAAAUUGAUAGUGUAUAUGUCAAACAUGCAAACACCUUUAGAUUUGUUCAAAAAAAAAAAAAAAAAUUACUAAUCAUGUGUUGGCGAGGUUCUUUGAUUGUGAUAUGUAAAUAGCAUGGAAACCUUCCAAAUGUAGCUUUCAGUGUAUAACACAGUGUAUCUGUGAAAUAUUUCUCCGCAAACCUUGUUCCAUCAAUCUGUAACGUGGGAGCAUGCUUCCAUGUAAAAAGAUUAUUGUUUUGUGUAUAAUUUGAUUUCGUACACUCCGCAUCGUGUACACAUGUACAUUGAAGGUCAAUAAAAAUAUGUGGCUAUAAUGUCACAUAUAGGUGGAUUAGGGUUGAUUACUCAAAAUGUCAAAAUAUAUAAUAAAAUAGAUCAAAUCAAACUAAUGAUAGGUGUACACAUUGUUAUGUGUGUUAUUUAUGUCUAAUGGUUGUAAUGUCAAACGACGACAGUGUAAAAAACAUACAAACGCCAGCGAGGACUGGAGCUUCGAAACAAGGCAUGGCGGUGGUGGAUCGAGCUAGGCACAGCUCAGGUAUUGUUGGUUGGAGAAGAGUACACGUUAUGAUAAAAUGGAGGACGUCGAGAAUGGAUCUUCACCGACAAAAGGAUGAAACACAAUAAAUCAAAGCUAACCAAACAGAAAAACAAAAAAAGUCAAAGAAAAAUAGUUUACUGUUUUUAUUCUGGGUUUCAAAACUUUAAAAGAUUUAAAAAAAAAAAAAAAAAACUUUAAAAGAUUUAAAACAAAAGUAAAGAGAAAAGAAACAAGAAACUUUUGUGGGCCAAGGGUAACAAAUCAAAAGCUAAAUAAAUACACAAGGGUGACGAAAAAAAGGUUUAUGGUUUCACUUUUUCAGGGUCAGCAGAGUCUUUAACCACCUAAAACUAUCCAAGUAGCACAAAGUGAUCUUCUAUGUAAUUAAAAGUCAAAAACUGAACUGCAGUGUAAAUCACUCUAAUUAAAAGUUCAUGUUAUCAGAAGUUGAGCUAGCGUCGUUUAUGGAUAACUAGACCCUGGUCCGCGCGCCAGCGCAGAUAUGAAUUUUCGGUUUUUAAUUAUUUAUUUUAUAAAAUAUGUAUUUGUAAUAUUUGUUUAUAUUAUAUUUAUUAAGUAAAUAUAUUUUUUUUUGCAUCUUAACCUAUUUAUUUAUUUACGAAUGUGUGAUAUCAUAUAAAAAAUAUAAAAAAUGAGUAUAGAGUUAAUUAGAUAAUUUUAAAAACAGAAAUUUUUCUUUCGUGUGCGAUAUCAUAUAAAUAAUGAUCCGCCCAGUUAACAAAAAUCAUGAUUAUUUUAUGUGUAAUUUUUUUUAUUUUGACCAUUUCCUUAAAACUAUAUUAAAUUUUACAUAUUUUAAUUAGAAUAUUUUUAAUAUCUUUACCUUUUUAUUUGAAAUGCAACUCAAUAUUUUUUUAACAAUUAUAACAAAAUAUUUAAAAAAUAUUUUUAGAAUUUGUUUGAAAAAUAUGAAAAUUACAUUUUAAAUUAAAAUUAUCCUAAAAUAUGAUAAGUUUUGAUGUAAACGAAAACUCAAAUUAUGUCAAAAAUAAUGAUAUUCAAUGAUAAUAACAAUUUUAAUUGAUUAUUUUUUAAAAAAUACAUUUACAAAAAUAUUGUUCGAAAGAAAAUUCAUUUAUCUUUCAAAUAUAAUAUGAAAAUAUUAUAAUUAAAUAAUAAAAAAUAUAAAUAAAAACCAUAAAUUUAGCAAAUGACAACUGACUUAUAUUAUGUUAAAACUUUCUUUCUAACAAUUUAUCAAAUGACAAAUGAGUUAUGAACAAAUAAUACCAUAUAAUUUUUAAAAACAUAGCCACUCUUAAAUAUUUUUUGAAUAAAUAAUUAUUUUAAAAUUUAAUCAACUGAAAAUAAUAUCCGUACAAUUGUGUGAGUCAAAUUCUAGUUUUAUUGAUGCAUGUUAUAUAUUAGUGCUGCAUGUUUUAGGUAACAUUUUAAUGAUGCACGUUUUUAAAAAUCUCCAUUAUUAAAAUUAUGCACGUAAGGAUAACUCAUGAGUUUUUUUGGUUGAUUAAAUGACAUUAUGUCCAAAUUUAUUUAAGGAUAUUUCAUUAAGGUAACUGAAAAAGACAAACAAUAAAAUAGGAAGUUUAAAUUCAUUUAAGCAUAUUUCAUUAAUGUAACUGAAAAGACAAGUAAUAAAUUAGACAGUUUUAUUCGUUUUAGGAUAUUUCAUAAAUGCAACUGAAAAAGACAAGCAAAAAAAAAGGGAGUUUAAUUAAUGAAGUAAGAACAUUUUCAAAUGGGUACUUCUCUUUUAAUAAUAUAGAUACGUUAAUCAACUAAAAUCCAAUUUGAAUCUUUAAUACCAUGAUUAAAAAUCCCAAGAGCAUGAUUAUAUUUUGUUUAUAUAUUGUAUUCCCACCAUUUUUUUUAAUAUAAGUCAUUUUAGAAUUGUGCACAUAGAUUAAGAAAAUCAUUAUUUUUUAUAUUUUCUAAACAAAAACAUCAUUAAUUAUUUAUUUAACCACAAAUCAACUAAUAAUAAAAUAGAAGGUAUAUUAUUAUUGAUCAUAUAAUAUUAAGUGUUAAUAAAUUUUACAUAGAAAACCGAGAACGUCAUAUAAUUUGGAACAUAAAUAUUUUUUCAAAAACGACUUAUAUUAAAAAACGGAGGGAGUAAUAGAAUUUUCGGUACAUUACUUUAAGACUGCCCACUCGUUAGUCUUAUCUUUACUCAAGUCUGUAUUUUUAAUUGUUUGUUCUCUGUUUAAAUCAUUUUAACGGUUAAAUAAUAAUAAUAAUAAUAAUAAUUUUAACAUUUAUGUCAUCACUUUCCUAGAUUCUUUUAAGCAUUUCGAUCAUUAGGAGAAUUGUCUUAUGGAUCUCACGAACUAACCAAGCUCACAAAAAUGAAUGUAUCAGCCAAGCAGAAGAUAAACAAGGAUAUGAGCUACAAUGCAGAUGAUAUAAUUGCUGGAAAUGAUACAAUAGAUGCAAACAGUUCAAGAUAUUAUUCUUUGAAACGACAAAAGAACACAACAAAAGCAAACGGAGGAAACUAAUGUUGCUGCCGGUUAUUAGAGGAUCACUUGCCUAUAACCAGUUUAGCUCUAGCAUCUCCUUGGUUGAUCUGGAACUGAUCUCCUAGUCCAAAAUGAGCCAUCAACAGCCACACAAAGCUGAUGAGUUCUCCACCUUUGCUUAGCUGAGCUGCGUGUUCUAUAGCGCCACACUUAGUUGCUGCAUAACAAAGCAACUCAGCCCACACUUUGUUCACUACUUCCCACAUGUAUGCCUCUCCCUUGGCCUUCUUCAAGCCAUCCUUUAACUCUGGAAGCUCUUUUAAACCCUUAAGCUCUUUGGCCAACAUGCUCCCAUCAAACAGCACCGACUUGCUUUUAUCACCUUUCACGUCAAUAGGUUCAGCUUUUGUCGGAGCCGUCACAGAUAAAAUCGCCUCACUAGCCAUCUUUAUGUCUCUGGAUUCGAUAUGCCUUCUCUUGAAAAACCUCUUAGCCUCCUCGCAUGUAUCCCUGAAUCUUAUCUUUCCAAUACCCACAACAGCUGACAUCAAAGUAGGUUGCAUCAUCAUGAGGUACAUCAUGUAGUCUGAAAGGAUUUUACUAAACUCACGAUCACUAUGACUCUCUUCAGUGGCUGGUUCUGAUUGGUAUAAGAGCUCAGUUGCAAUAUGCCACACAAGAAGACUCUGAUCAUAGUCCAUUUCCAUCACAUAGCGUAGAAGCCUCUCACGCUUUUUCUGUGUCUCUCUGUCUUCACCUUGUAUGUCACGCUGACUCCAGUCACCUCUAGCUGAAGAGACCCUCAUGGUGCUUUCCGAGUCGUCAGCGAAACGGGAUUUAUUCAAAACCUCUCCAAAUAUAUGCUCCCACAGAUCAAGAGUGACACGAUCACUUGAUGUGUAGAUAAUCUCCUCAAACUGAGCUUGUAUCCCAAAGAAGUCCAUGAACUUUCUUGUCAGAUAACCAAGAAGAUGAAAAAUGACGAACGUCCAAUAGAUCCAACUCCUAAUAUAAUCUUCCUUUAACCAUUUUAUGUUCUUGCAUAAAACACUUAUUUUUCAAACCACUUGUAAACAUUAUGACCCACUUGCUUUAUACUGUGGAAACAGAAUGCAAUUGCUUUUCCAAUGGCUUCAAAGACAACUCCAAUGCAAAAAACCUCGAUAAACCAGUCAAAGGACAUGUGUAUGAAACCCUUGGUGUGAUGGAUCCGCUUCGGCGUUAUCGAAAGACAGUACUCUAGCAAGUUGUGUGCAUGUACGUACUCUGACCGCCUACGUACCAUAAAGAAAGUGUCAAGGACUUCAUGACACGUCUUGUCCGUUCUAUCCUUCUCAACGUCUUCGUCCUUCUUCAGCCUCAUAAAAAUGAGAAUUGGCUUUAUAAUCUUGUCGAACCAGUUAACUUUGUUGUCCUCAUCCUUAGACGGUUUGAAGCAUUUGUACUUCUCCGUCUUCAAUCCCCUGGCCCCAAGAAUCCAGUUAAGAAAGUUGUCCAACUUAGUGUCAGGAUCAUCAACCUCGUCCUUCAUCUUCCUCAGCCUGACAAAGGUCCAGUCAGACAGACAUAACAUAAUAAGAGCAAUGCAAUCCAGAGCUAUUCCUCCUAUCAGCAAUGCAUAAGUAAGGCCAACAUCGAAUCUUCCAUAGUCUUUCUUGUCUUUGUAUUGGAAGAUGCGGAGCGCUGCUAUAAGGCAUCCAAGAGCAAUGAAUCUGAAGAUGACUCCUAUCCAAUUAUGAAGAAUCUCAGCUUUUGUGUAAAGAGCUUCGUAGAUGAAGUUGAGCUCAACCUCCAAGAUUCUUAGCGCUUCAUCUGGUUUUAGUUCGCUAAAGAAUCGCUUGCUUUCAGCUCAUUGUUGAAAGGUGAAGGUAAGAUCAACCACAAGACCUUUGAAGAUGUUGAAGUACUUAUAAGCAUACUGGAGAAUAUUAAGCUCAGUGAGGUCGUCAGGCUUAACCUUAGCACCGACUUUUGGAUCUUUCUCAGACUCCUCGAUCUUGAUAAUCUGUGUAGGCAUCUUCAUAACCUUCUUAGCCGCGUAUUCCUCCAUGAGCUUUGCGUAGUUUGGGCCAUGAUCAGGUCGUAGAAUCAUGGAAUCUUUAAACUUGUCAAGACUAGCUAGGUAUAACGCUAAUGUCCUCUCAACAUACUUGAUCACUCCUGUCGCAGAAACCAGCAAAAUGGGUCUCCACAGAUCAUUUGGUAACGACUGUAAAAACACGUAGACGGUGGCGAUUGCUUGAAAGGCAAGACCCAACAAGUGCCUAAGCCAGAGCUCAUUAUCUUCAAGCGCAAGGGAAGUGAUUGUAUCUGUACCACCAAGAUGCAAGAGCAAAAAAGGAACCCAAAAAGCUAAGAGUUUACUGUUAUUUUUAGGUUCUCCGGGUUAUGCAUCGUCUCCUUGCCUAUCAGAGAUUUUUCUCGCUGCGAAGUUGGCUGCCCAAUCGGCAAGAAGAUAAGCUGACCUGAUGAGAGAGAGUAGUACCUUUCUGGAUGUGCGUUUCUUUUGAGGUGCAAAGAAAAUGAGAAACGAUUGGAGGCUGAGACUGAAGAUUAAGGUAGUUCGGAUACUCCAUGCGUCCCAUAUGUCUUUGAUAGGCUUUGGGAUUGCGUCCACCAUCUUGAAACAGAGUUAUUUCCUAAUUUGUUGGAACAGACAAGAAAUUAUGGUCUUU
RNAcentral lists this long non-coding RNA (16331 nucleotides) under Brassica napus (rape). RNAcentral's name for it is "long non-coding RNA (BNAP_LNC011735)". Lineage: Eukaryota; Viridiplantae; Streptophyta; Magnoliopsida; Brassicales; Brassicaceae. The record is from RNAcentral.